This 434-nucleotide ribosomal RNA is filed under the name Aetana manansalai. RNAcentral describes it as "partial 16S ribosomal RNA". It matches the Rfam family "Bacterial large subunit ribosomal RNA", at positions 1830 to 2597 of the family's 2925-position model. The record is from RNAcentral. Lineage: Eukaryota; Metazoa; Arthropoda; Arachnida; Araneae; Pholcidae.
UUCUUUAAGAACUUUAAUUUAAAGUAAAACCUGCUCAAUGAAUAUAAAUAGCCGCAGUCAUCCUGUGCUAAGGUAGCAUAAUCACUUGCUUUCUAAAUAAAAGAUAGAAUGAAAGGUUAAACGAUAAACUACUUCAUUUCAAUACCUUAACUAAAUUAAUAUUCAAGUAAAAAAGCAUGAAAAAAAUAACAAGACGACAAGACCCUACUAAACUUAUCAUUCAGUUGGGGCAACAAAAUAAUAAAACUUUAUAUACAAUUACAAAACAAUUCAUAAAAAUUAUAUAAAUGACCAGUUACUAUAGGGAUAACAGCGCAAUUUCUUUCAAGAGAUCUCAUCUAAAAAGAAGAUUACGACCUCGAUGUUGAAUUAAUUUAACUAAUAUUUUGAAGCAAAAUCCUAUAAAAGUUAGUCUGUUCGACUAUUAAAAAAUU